RNAcentral lists this ribosomal RNA (173 nucleotides) under uncultured bacterium. RNAcentral's name for it is "partial 16S ribosomal RNA". It matches the Rfam family "Bacterial small subunit ribosomal RNA", at positions 332 to 505 of the family's 1533-position model. The record is from RNAcentral.
CCUACUCCUACGGGAGGCAGCAGUAGGGAAUCUUCCGCAAUGGACGAAAGUCUGACGGAGCCACGCCGCGUGAGUGAUGAAGGUUUUCGGAUCGUAAAGCUCUGUUGUUAGGGAAGAACAAGUCCCGUUUGAAUAGAGCAGUACCAGACCUACCUACCGGAAUGGACCUUCCG